UACGUAGGUGGCAAGCGUUGUCCGGAUUUAUUGGGCUUAAAGGGUGCGUAGGCGGCAUUUUAAGUCAGUGGUGAAAUACUUCAGCUCAACUGGAGAGGUGCCAUUGAUACUGGGAUGCUUGAGUACUGAUGAGGUAGGCGGAAUGGACGGUGUAGCGGUGGAAUGCUUAGAUAUCGUCCAGAACACCGAUAGCGAAGGCAGCUUACUAAGGAGUAACUGACGCUGAGGCACGAAAGUGUGGGGAGCAAACAGG
Molecule: ribosomal RNA, 253 nt
Filed under: uncultured bacterium
Lineage: Bacteria
Description: partial 16S ribosomal RNA
Rfam family: Bacterial small subunit ribosomal RNA
Source: RNAcentral